UCCACGUUGCACAAGCCCAGCGCACGGUACCCACUGGAUAUGCCCGAGGCCUCCAGAGGAAAGGAAAGGAGGAAAAGGGACAGAAGAAAUGUUCACAGGAACUGCAUAUGGGCCUGCUACUUGUGUCAAAAUGUGACUGAACUCUCUUCCAGCAGGCUGGAGUGCAGUGGUGCGAUCUCAGCUCAUUGCAACCUAUGCCUCCCGGGUUCAAACGAUGCGUAGUAUGGCAGCAAUUAAGAUGGAAGUAAUGAGGAAAAGGAAUACUUAUCAAUGGAGAUUAGAGAGAGCCAAGGUGUGGGGAAAAGAGUGACUUCACCUUAAAUGUUAACCUGCCAUGUAACUUCUGACUAAUCCCAGGUCCAGAAAUGCCUCCAAAUGUCUCGUUGCUGUAUUACUCUUUAUGUGGAAACACCUGUUCACUGCUAUUUCACUGAACUGAAGCAGUCAAAAGAGAAUGCUCAUGAGAUCCCAUCACCACCACUUUACCGAACUACUUCCAUAUCUUACUCUGAGGGAGGUCUGAAUGCCAUAUUGUGAGCGGCCCUGCUGAAAGACCCAUGUGGCAAGGAUCUGAGAUCAUUGGCCAACAGGCUGCAAAGAGUCCUACCAACAGCCAGGCUGGUGUUCUUGGAAGUGGAUCUUCUCCUACUCUCCUACUUGAGAUGACUGCAGCCCCAGCUAACACUUCGAUUGCAGCCUUGUUAAGAUAUCACGGGCCAGACACACCCAGCUAAGUUAUGCCUGAGUUACUAGCCCACAGAAAUGAUAAGAUAAUAAAUAUUUGCUGUUUUAAGCUGCUAAGUUUUGGGUUAAUUUGUUAUACAACAAUGGAUAACUAAUACAAGUGCAGUCAUUGAUCUCAUUGAACACACCCGUAAUUCUUUGGAAAAAUGUCUACUUUCUCACCAAACUAAAAUCCAUUAAUUCCAGUAGUUAGGUGUUUGGCAAUGCCUUUAAAACGAUGCAUAGAAGUACAUGGCCAGGUCUUUAAAAUUGCGUUGCUAGACUGAAGAAGAGCUGUCUGACUUACUGGGCUUCCCACGUUCCUGCCUUCAGUUCCUGGGUUAGUGUCACAGGUUGCGGAUUUUCCACUCCAUCUCCCAGUCAUGUCUCUGGCACUUCCCCCGCUUGGCUCCUAGUAAUCAACUUUGGCUGACCUCUAACUCUCCACCUCCUGGACCACAAAAUAAACCCAAUGCUCUGAUCAUAGCUCCUCUGCAACUAUGUUUACUCCUUGGUUUGGGAUCUGCCCAGACUCUCAUUACGCCUGCCAUAGCAUUAUCCCUCUGUCCUGUACCUACGGAUGAAGCAAACCAUUGAUUUCUCCAACUAUGCUAAGUAAGAGCAAGUCAUAUUGUAAGUAAUUUAAUAAUAUAGAAUUUCUAGAGUUAUAAAAUAAUGAAGCAAUUUUAUAAAAACUAUCUUUUUAACAGGUUAAAAAAUAAAGCAAUGUCA
Molecule: long non-coding RNA, 1455 nt
Filed under: Homo sapiens (human)
Lineage: Eukaryota; Metazoa; Chordata; Mammalia; Primates; Hominidae
Description: HSALNT0336724
Source: RNAcentral